Long non-coding RNA from Molossus molossus (Pallas's mastiff bat), 673 nucleotides. RefSeq lists it as uncharacterized. The transcript is spliced from 5 exons. The record is from RefSeq and is a predicted model, not a curated record. NCBI's taxonomy places the organism in Eukaryota, Metazoa, Chordata, Mammalia, Chiroptera, Molossidae.
GUCAGGUUGGCGCAGGGAGGAACAGCAGCAGCAGUGCCUUUGCCUGCCCCUUAGUGUGCAAAGCAUAGGCCAAGGAACAGGCCAAGGCUCUGCCUGAAUGACACACAGAAGCCUGAGAAGGGAGCAAAGGACCUCUCACCCCUGAAGUUCUGCUGUCCCAGAUCAAGACACCAAAACAAAUUCAUCUUCUGGGUCCUCUCCAGGAUGUUGUGACAAUCGAGGAGGAAAAAGAUAGUGGAUGUGCUUCCUAACCAGUAUGGCCAUGUCCAGAACAGUUGGUUCUCACUCACUCAUCUUUGAGCGUCUCCAGAGUGACCAUGUAGGUCCAGCUACCCCUGGAACGUGUUGGAGAGGCUGAACUCCCAGCCAGUAGCCAGCAGCACCCAGCAGACAUGGGAGUGAGCUUCUUAGAUGUCAGCCCAGUGGAGCCUUCAGAUGACCGCAGUCCCAGCCAACCUGACUGUCACUAUGUGAGACACUCCAAGUGACAACUGGCUAGUCAAGCCCUUCCCAAUCCUGACUUACCAAAUUAUGAGGGCACGGGGAAGCCACCUAGUGAGGCCGGCAGAGAGGACCCUGGGCUCUCAGAUGUCCUUGUGGAGCAGAGCUGCCGACUACCCAGAUGCCACUCACAUUUUAUGUAAGAGAGAAAGAGAGAAAUAAACUUCUGUCU